This 216-nucleotide long non-coding RNA is filed under the name Lathyrus oleraceus (garden pea). RNAcentral describes it as "Pisum sativum (pea) long non-coding RNA (PSAT_LNC024768)". The record is from RNAcentral. Lineage: Eukaryota; Viridiplantae; Streptophyta; Magnoliopsida; Fabales; Fabaceae.
AUAACUCUUUUUCGUUCAUCCCAAAGGUUCACAAAAUCAUCAUGCAUCAAUCAAAUCAGAGGUAAAACAAUGGUCUAUCACUACCCAUGACAUAUUAUCACAUAAUACCCGUUAAUCGAUGAUAAACCCCCCUUACCUGAGUUAAUCCGGCAAAUUCUGCAACUUCAAGCUCUUCCUCUUCUCUUGCUCUGCCUUUUUGCCCUUUUUCCUCUUUCA